AGAGUUUGAUCCUGGCUCAGGACGAACGCUGGCGGCGUGCUUAACACAUGCAAGUCAAGGAGAACGGGAAUCUUCGGAAUCCCUAGUAAACUGGCGAACGGGUGAGUAACACGUAGGCAAUCUGCCUUCAGGACAGGGAUAACCUUGCUAACGCGGGGCUAAUACCUGAUGAUAUUUUUGUGUCGCAUGGCAUGAGAAUCAAAGUUGUCUCGACUUGUCGAGUUAAUACCUGGAGAUGAACCUGCGUCCCAUUAGCUAGUUGGUAGAGUAAUAGCCUACCAAGGCAACGAUGGGUAGCCGGCCUAAGAGGGUGUCCGGCCACACUGGGACUGAGAUACGGCCCAGACUCCUACGGGAGGCAGCAGUGAGGAAUAUUGCGCAAUGGGCGAAAGCCUGACGCAGCAACGCCGCGUGGAUGAUGAAGCUCUAAGGAGUGUAAAGUCCUGUUAGGAGGGAAGAAUGAUGCCGAUGUGAAUAAUAUCUGCAUUUGACGGUACCUCCAGAGAAAGCCCCGGCUAACUCCGUGCCAGCAGCCGCGGUAAUACGGGGGGGGCGAGCGUUGUCCGGAAUCAUUGGGCGUAAAGGGCGCGUAGGUGGAGUAGUAAGUUAGAGGUGAAAACUAUGGGCUUAACUCAUAGCCUGCCUCUAAAACUGCUAUUCUUGAGUAUGGAAGAGGAAAGUGGAAUUCCUGGUGUAGCGGUGAAAUGCGUAGAUAUCAGGAAGAACACCGGUAGCGAAGGCGACUUUCUGGUCCAUAACUGACACUGAGGCGCGAAAGCGUGGGGAGCAAACAGGAUUAGAUACCCUGGUAGUCCAUGCUGUAAACGAUGGGCACUAGGUGUUGGUCCCGUUCCAACGGGAUCAGUGCCGCAGCUAACGCAUUAAGUGCCCCGCCUGGGGAGUACGAUCGCAAGGUUGAAACUCAAAGGAAUUGACGG
RNAcentral lists this ribosomal RNA (938 nucleotides) under uncultured bacterium. Its description in RNAcentral is "bacterial SSU rRNA". It matches the Rfam family "Bacterial small subunit ribosomal RNA", at positions 8 to 916 of the family's 1533-position model. The record is from RNAcentral.